ACCAAAUGAAAAGCACACAACAUAGCUAAUAGCGCAAUAAAACUAAGCUGCCAAUAUUCUUUACCCUGAUAAAAUCACCAAAUAGAAGCAGACAAUAUAGCUGAUAAAACGAUAAAACACAAAAUUUAUGCCACCAACAUCCAUCAAUGCCUGAUUUGGCCAAGGCAUCUGCCCAACAAUUUGCCUUUUUACACUCAAUUUUAACUUGAACAAUUGUAGAUCAAUCCUUUUAAACAAAAACGACUAUUACCAGCAUGACUACAACCAAUAAUAAAAUUAUCAACAACUAGGGAUAGAACAUCUCGAGCAUCUAGGUCACGAUCAGAAUGGUCAACCGAAUCACCGAAGGAGCUACCAUUCGGGACAUCAGCAUGAACAGAUUGUCGAGACGCUAUCAGGAGCACCCGAACCAACCAAGCCCCCUAAAAGGUAAUCAUCAAUCAUGACACCAAGGGGUUGAGAAUCCAAAUACGCAAAAUCAUACCCCGACGAUGCAGCAGUACACAGAGAUUUAAGAGCAGUUUAGGCUCUUAUUGGAGAAAUACAAUCAGCAACAUGAGACUAUACAACAAAAUGCUCAGAUUAUUCAUGAACUUAGGGUGGAGCAGUCUCCUCCAAAAAUAGUGAAUGUGAAACCAAUGGCAUGAAGAAAUCGUGUCAUUUGCGGCUGGGUGAAGGGAACACCCCACAAAAGAAGGAAAAAAGGACCUGAGGCGUGGCCCGGAG
RNAcentral lists this long non-coding RNA (726 nucleotides) under Gossypium raimondii (Peruvian cotton). RNAcentral describes it as "long non-coding RNA (GRAI_LNC006684)". The record is from RNAcentral. Lineage: Eukaryota; Viridiplantae; Streptophyta; Magnoliopsida; Malvales; Malvaceae.